UACGUAGGGACCGAGCGUUGUCCGGAUUUAUUGGGCGUAAAGAGCGCGUAGGCGGCUAUCCACGUCGGAUGUGAAAGCUCAGGGCUCAACCCUGAGAGGCCAUUCGAUACGGGAUAGCUAGAGGCAGCUAGGGGAAAGUGGAAUUCCUGGUGUAGCGGUGAAAUGCGCAGAUAUCAGGAGGAACACCGGUGGCGAAGGCGGCAUCCUGGACCGACACUGACGCUGAGGCGCGAAAGCUAGGGUAGCAAACGGG
RNAcentral lists this ribosomal RNA (253 nucleotides) under uncultured bacterium. RNAcentral's name for it is "partial 16S ribosomal RNA". It matches the Rfam family "Bacterial small subunit ribosomal RNA", at positions 524 to 776 of the family's 1533-position model. The record is from RNAcentral.